UAAUAGAGCAGUAGAGCCAUACACCGCAGAGAUCUCAGGCUGACUUCACAAGCAACAUGUCCUGGGCGGCCUUAUUCAUCACUAUUGUCUAUAUUAGCACAUAUUGUGCUGCACAGAUCACAUUGACACAGUCACCUUCUGAAUCCGUGUCUCCUGGGAGUACAGUGAAAAUCCCCUGUACGGCUAGUGGAAUCACCAUAAGUGGCUAUAUUGG
Molecule: long non-coding RNA, 214 nt
Organism: Bufo bufo (common toad)
Lineage: Eukaryota; Metazoa; Chordata; Amphibia; Anura; Bufonidae
Exons: 3
Source: RefSeq, a predicted model, not a curated record